Molecule: long non-coding RNA, 4135 nt
Organism: Ceratina calcarata
Lineage: Eukaryota; Metazoa; Arthropoda; Insecta; Hymenoptera; Apidae
Exons: 4
Source: RefSeq, a predicted model, not a curated record
AAGUAGCUUCUUUGAUUAAUUUUCAAUUAGUGUUGUAAGAAUGAUGAAAUUUUGUGUUGUGUAAUUAGAGUUGUGUAAAAUCAAGAGCCCAAGUAUUUGAUUAAUACGGUGAAAGUGUUCCUGCAUCGUCGAUGGUAACACCAAAAUAAGGAGCAUGAAGAACAAGAAGAGCGUCGAAGAAACAGGAAGGGCUUCUCAAACUUCUUUGAAAGAUUUUUCAACAUCUUUAAAGCGCAGAAGAUACGAAUGAGAAGUGUAUCGUUAGAACGGCGUUUCAUAGAGGUACUCUACCUCGCACAGAUGUCAACGAUCCGCCACUUUCCACUUUAAAAGACACCUCCUCGUGACAAGGAUGGAACUUUUAUCACGAAUGAAACAGAUGCCACAGGGGAGAAAUGAAAGCACCCUCUUAUUAUUAUAUACCGCGUCGUCAUUUUGCAACUUGAGACGCAAUCGUUGACGUGAAAUUUUAUCAAUUUGCGGUUAUUGAUUGUAGAAGCGUUCGCGCUACGAGUAUUUCCACUUUUACCUCUUUCAUUUUCUUUUUUUCCCCUCGCCUCCUUUUACUUGGAACGACCACUAGAACGGCUGGGUUUUAAAAGUCUCUAUAACCGUGUAACAACCAUCGGUCUUCCUUUUUUUUUUAAAGGCUACAGCAUCACGGGCGAAUGUUUAACAUAAACUCUCCCGACUUUCACUGGCAGUCCACUAAACGUUUCUUUCGUUACGUCGCUUCGCUUUUGCCAGUCUAAAUUAUUUCCCAGAGAUACCAUGAUGCAGCGUGUAAUUGAUUAGGAAUUAAACUGUUCCACAUUCUCCUUUAAUAAUACCCGUUACAUACGCGUAACGGCAACGUCAUAAUUGUAGCUCUACUGUAACUGUUUAUCGUUAUUGGUAUCACGAUAAUAAAAUAAUUUGAACAAUAGCGCGCGGCACGCUCGGUAACAUGAAUAUGGAAAUUCCUUUCAGACUUCUCUCGCGGCACGGAAUUACGUUCGUUUUAAUCACGUUGAUUAUGUUUUAUUAGCAUCCGAAUGAAAUUCAUCAAAAAAUUUACAUAACAGAAGUCUAUGGAGCGCGGCAAUUUGAAACGAUUUUCGUUAAUUACUUAAUUAUCAUUGUAACUCGUCUGAUAUGCCGAUAAUACGUGAAAAUUAGUUUCCCUCGUUUUCCACGUCGCCGUCCAAUAAAGUCCAUUAAAUAUCCGACCGCUUAAUCCUGGAUCGCUUCUAAUCGACCCCGGGAAAGACGUCGGCGUCGCGACGAAUAACCCGCAUGCCAGUAUUCUAACGCGACGAUUCUUACCGUCCGUUCGGCCGUGAAAUAGUGACUGUUUCCAUUCCGAGUGUCCGCAAGCAGUCUUUCAAUAUUCUAAACAUAUAUCUCCCGCAUGAAAACGUUGGAUUCGAAAGAACGCUCGAGAAUCGAUGACACUUUCAAAUUCUCCGAUAGCGGUAUAAUAUCGUAACGAAAGACAUCGUCGUAAGUCAAGAAUAGCCACUGUUUUAACAAUGUCUGGCUCGGAGUCACUUUCGCGCACCUCUCGCGUGGAAUUUCAUCCGUUUUUCUUCAUCCCUCGCUUCAUCUUCCGCCUUUAUUCCAUUCCAACGUGGACACACGUCCACGGUGUCUCGUCCUAUACGCGUACGGUGACACCGAUUACGUCAACGAAACGGACACUAACGUUUCUAAUGACGGUAACCGAGGUAACAGCGACGCGAUGGUAUAAGGAUCACAAGCCGAGACGCGGGCAGCGAGAGACCGAUGGAUGAAGAUGUGUAGCUGAAAGCCCAGGGGUCGUCCUCGCUCACGUUUUAUUGCUACACGUGUGUUACCUCUGUAUUUUCCCAACGCGACGCGCAACCUAUCCCCGUAUCGCUACUUAUCUCAUCUUAUUGUCCUGUUUUUUCUCCCCCCUCUCUCCCGCAUUUAUGUACACCUUGUAACAUAUCGACGUAUGAACGAUGCUCUCGCGACUAUUGCUCGGCUAUUUCGAAAUUAUUGCUCACGGAUACGAGGUACGAGAAAUGGAAUUAAGUUCUUGCGAGUUUUGAAGAGCGCAUGAGAUUGAAAUGGAGAGAACGAGAAACGCAAAUAUUUGUUAUAAGAAUACGGACGGUCAAUAACUCAUACUGAUUAGUUACAGCCAAAAUUGUACGAUCGAACAAAUUUCCGAAGUGCAGAGCUAUACUAAUUAAAUCAUAGGGUUUCAACUUGAGAGUCGUUCCAUUUAAUUCGAAAUUAUUGGAGCUCAAUAUUAUAUCCGCAUUGCUCGGUCUUCCGAUCUAACUGUACGAAAUUAUUUGGAACCGAACGGGCAGCGAUUCGGCAGACGUUAUGACGCGAGAUUAAAAGAUAAAAUUAGUUAGGGAGAUCGUAGCCGGAGUAUGUAUUAGACUGGCAGAUUCGUGAUAGAGGCGUUCGCUCUGAUGUAUUUGCGACGUAAACAAUAAUUACCGGGUGCAAUUAAGAGGAUCCUCGCUGCAGGGCGCGGCGAUACGGUCGGUGAUAGUCUUGGAACUUCUGCUCUAUGUAUAUCCGACGUAUAGCGACGAGGCAUCCGUACGGAACGACUUGGUAACGUGUGUCGUCGGCGCGAUGAAGAGAUUUCGAGUUGGCUACGCUCAAUCUUGUUAUUCUGUGUGUUAGAGUCUUCCGUAAAAUUUGAGUUAGCUUCGUUACUAGGCGACCGAAUCUUCCUCUGUCUGCUCACCUGUCUGUCUGUCUGUCGGGACUUUCUGAGUCUGUGAGUGUGAGUCUGAGUGAUGGUACCAAUGAGACGUUAAUACGGCAUUGGAUCAAUUAGGAACGAGUCCGAUUAUAAAAUAAUCAGAUCUGCGAGGAGUUACAUCUGCACUUUAGCAACUCUAAGAGGGAACGUUGUCUGACACACCUUUAUUAAGAAUGAUAUUUAUACUUGAAAAUGUCUAAAUUUAGUGUGUAAUCUCUUGCAGUAAUUACCUACAGCAUUUAAUAUAAAAUCAGGUACGAAAACUGAGAGCUUACGUUCAGUACGUAGGACAUGACUGCUUGUGACAAAGAAUUAAAAGCGCAUAUAGAACUAAUUAAAAAGUGAUUACUGUAUUAUCAUCUGGUUUCCGAACCGGUCGAAAGGCUUUAGUAGAAUAACUUUCACGGAAAGGAAGAGAACCUCUAGGUUUUGCCCGUGCAAACAGUCGUUAGGGAUGCAACCGUUCCCUAGAUUCCGGAAAGCAAGAAACUUGGUCGUACUAAUGCUAUGCUAAUGACUUGAGACGAAGAAAAAAAGGAAGGAAUGACUAGAAGAAUAGUGGUUAAGUCAAAAUGUCUGAUUUCCAAUAUCAAUAGCCUUCACGUACCUCUCUGAUCACAAUUAAUAAAAAGAAGAUGGGAAUUUAAACGAGCAGACGAUGUAAAAAUCUACGUAGUGGCUCAUUACGUUAUAUAAACAAGUUUCAUCUGUAAAAUAUUCUUGGCGAUAAUAUGUGCUUGAACAGCGAUUUGCAUAAAUUUUAUUAGUCGGGAAGUUAACGGAUCGAAAGUUUUUUACAGUAUGGUAUGAUAGCUUCAAAGCUGAAAAUUCUGUUCGCGCUUUCCUUUUCAAUAUUAUUUCCUAUACCUUGGCCGUUAAAAAAAAAAGCGUAAAAAAGAUGGAAGGUUGAGGAUUUUGUCGGACGCGCCACGGGUGAAAUCGAGCUGGAUCGAUCGGAAGUCACCAUCCAGAGAAUUAUUGCUCGAUUAACCGUUAAUGAUUUCGGUGCUUCACGCAAGGUCCCUGAAUGGGGACUUCACUCCUGAACUUUAACUACGUUAGCUGUGCCGCGUCGUCGUCCCUUAAACUGGCAAAAGGCGCAUCGGCCGGAAAGGAAUUCGUGGCAACGGCGAUUUUUCCCCCUCCGUUAUAUGAAAAUCGUUCGACCGGACCAGGAACCGCGAGACCGAGGAAAAUAUGAUGCAUUGUACCUACAAAUGUACUGCACGCAAGCCAGUAACGCGUACCGUGUAAGAAUGUCGACGUACAUUCCUGUCCAUAAGCUACGGUUAAUAAUAGAUUUCCCACAAAUCUUAUAAAUGAAAUUAAAGAAGAUGAACCAAAUAAUUGUAUAGAAUUCAUGUCCUUUCCAAUAGAAAAAAAAUUGUCCUGUAAUUGUUUUAA